UCAGUUACCCCUUUGUCCAAGGAAGCCGGGAACUUCUCACCAUGGACAAGGCCCUGAUGCUCUUCCUGUUUGUGACAUUUUUCGGGGGUUGCGAUGCCCAAGUCACCAUGACUCAGCCGCCCUCUAUGUCGGCUUCCAUUGGAGAGACUGUUAAGAUCGCCUGUAGGAGAAGCAGUGGGGGCAUAAGCGACUACUAUAAUUCCUGGUACCAACAGAAGCCCGGCAGUGCUCCAAUAUUACUGAUAUUUGAACAGAGCAGCAGAGCCUCCGGAAUCUCGGACCGAUUCUCAGGUUCUCUGGACAGCUCUGCCAAUGCCGCCGUCUUAACCAUCUCCAAUGUUCAAAUAGAUGACGAGGCCGAUUAUUAUUGUUCAGUUUAUGUGGGCAGCGGCCAGCACACGAUGAUACAAGCACAUGGGGUAGUGAGACAAAAACCUCCGUUCUGCAGAUGUGA
Sphaerodactylus townsendi is the source of this 454-nucleotide non-coding RNA. Lineage: Eukaryota; Metazoa; Chordata; Lepidosauria; Squamata; Sphaerodactylidae. The record is from the annotation of a RefSeq genome assembly.